AUACGGUUAUAUCACGUUGAAACACCUGUUUCCGUACAAUCACCGUAGUUAAGCAACAUUGAUCAUACUCAGUCCUUAGAUGGGUGUCCGCAUGGGAAUACCAGAUGCUGUAAG
Acanthosepion pharaonis is the source of this 114-nucleotide non-coding RNA. NCBI's taxonomy places the organism in Eukaryota, Metazoa, Mollusca, Cephalopoda, Sepiida, Sepiidae. The record is from the annotation of a GenBank genome assembly.